This 292-nucleotide ribosomal RNA is filed under the name uncultured bacterium. Its description in RNAcentral is "partial 16S ribosomal RNA". It matches the Rfam family "Bacterial small subunit ribosomal RNA", at positions 505 to 796 of the family's 1533-position model. The record is from RNAcentral.
GUGUCAGCAGCCGCGGUAAUACGAAGGGGGCUAGCGUUGUUCGGAAUUACUGGGCGUAAAGCGCGCGCAGGUGGUCUUUCAAGUCAGUGGUGAAAGCCCGGAGCUCAACUCCGGAAAUGCCAUUGAAACUGUGAGACUUGAGGACGAGAGAGGUGAGUGGAAUUCCCAGUGUAGAGGUGAAAUUCGUAGAUAUUGGGAAGAACACCGGUGGCGAAGGCGGCUCACUGGCUCGUAUCUGACGCUCAGGCGCGACAGCGUGGGGAUCAAACAGGAUUAGAUACCCGCGUAGUCC